Molecule: transfer RNA, 71 nt
Filed under: Pangasianodon hypophthalmus (striped catfish)
Lineage: Eukaryota; Metazoa; Chordata; Actinopteri; Siluriformes; Pangasiidae
Description: tRNA-Glu
Source: RNAcentral
UCCCUGGAGGACUAGUGGUUAGGCUUCGGCGCUCUCAUCGCCUCAGCCGGGUUCGAUUUCUGGCCAGGGAA